RNAcentral lists this small RNA (700 nucleotides) under Paradiplozoon vaalense. RNAcentral's name for it is "eukaryotic LSU rRNA". The stretch from base 623 to 700 matches the Rfam family "Eukaryotic large subunit ribosomal RNA", at positions 1 to 78 of the family's 3401-position model. The record is from RNAcentral. Lineage: Eukaryota; Metazoa; Platyhelminthes; Monogenea; Mazocraeidea; Diplozoidae.
CGGCAUAAGACUCUGUCUGAUGCCACGCCUGACCGAGAGUCGGCAAUUAAUCUAUCACGAUGCUUAAUUGGUCGUGGCUUAGCUUGUUGUCAGUCGUCGUGUUUAACUUCGCAACGUGUUGUUGAGUUGUCAAGUUGACGGAUCAUUGACGCUUGCCAAACUUAAUGGAGAGUGUGUUGCAUACUUCUGCCGGUAGCCUGUCUACGUUGGUUAAAUUCUCUUGUGCGUAGUUUGUUUGCAUUUUUAUGCAUACCGGUCGGGAGGGUUUAACUUUCGUUGUCAGUGCGUGUUUACCAGUGGUGUUGUCGUGGCGUGGGAAUUUCAAUAAGCAUUUAUGAAUGGUAAUUGGUAAAUUGUCGACAUAUAUGCUGUUCUCUUGAGACUUUGGCCCACGGGUUAUGCAGUGGCCAGUGUUGCUUUGAAUGUCAGCGCAUGCAUGGCAGGUCGCAGCCUAUUGUGAUCGUUACGAGGUGACUUGUCUGUGUUCUGCAUUUAGAGUUUGGCAUUGCGAGUAUGGCCCGAAAUGAGACUGUGCCCAUGUCCAGUUGUGCUAACAUUGCUUUUCCACUGGUUGCAAGGUGCUUGUCGGUGUCGCCAGUAUUCUAUGUGUUUGGUGCACACCUGAUCUCGGAUUAGACGUGGUUACCCGCUGAACUUAAGCAUAUCAAUAAGCGGAGGAAAAGAAACUAACCAGGAUUCG